Molecule: ribosomal RNA, 253 nt
Filed under: uncultured bacterium
Lineage: Bacteria
Description: partial 16S ribosomal RNA
Rfam family: Bacterial small subunit ribosomal RNA
Source: RNAcentral
UACGUAGGGUGCGAGCGUUGUCCGGAUUUAUUGGGCGUAAAGGGCUCGUAGGCGGCUUGUCGCGUCGGGAGUGAAAGCCCGCUGCUUAACGGCGGGUUGGCUUUCGGUACGGGCAGGCUGGAGUGCGGCAGGGGAGACUGGAAUUCCUGGUGUAGCGGUGGAAUGCGCAGAUAUCAGGAGGAACACCGGUGGCGAAGGCGGGUCUCUGGGCCGUUACUGACGCUGAGGAGCGAAAGCGUGGGGAGCGAACAGG